This 464-nucleotide ribosomal RNA is filed under the name uncultured bacterium. RNAcentral's name for it is "partial 16S ribosomal RNA". It matches the Rfam family "Bacterial small subunit ribosomal RNA", at positions 338 to 795 of the family's 1533-position model. The record is from RNAcentral.
CCUACGGGUGGCAGCAGUGGGGAAUUUUGCGCAAUGCUCGUAAGAGUGACGCAGCGACGCCGCGUGAAUGACGAAGGCCUUCGGGUCGUAAAGUUCUUUCGACAGGGAAGAAAAUGCCUAUAAGUAACUGUGUAUGUAUUGACGGUACCUGUAUAAGCAGCCCCGGCUAACUCCGUGCCAGCAGCCGCGGUAAUACGGAGGGGCGGGGCGUGUUCGGAGGGACUGGGCGUAAAGAGAACGUAGGAGGUGUUGUAAGUCAUUAGUCAAAGACUAGAGCUCAACUUUAGUAAGGCUAGUGAUACUAUAAUACGAGAGUAGCAGAGAGGAUGGCAGAAUUCCUGGUGGAGCGGUGAAAUGCGUAGAUAUCAGGAGGAAUACCGUUAGCGAAGGCGGCAAUCUGGCUGGAGACUGACGCUGAGGUGCGAAAGCGUGGGUAGCAAACAGGAUUAGAUACCCGGGUAGUC